GUCAGUCCAGCCCAGAGCUUGACAUAAACGCAUUUAUUAAAUUAUUAAUAAACUAUUUAUGAACCGACUGUUUCUGUCUUUAUAACCUUGUCGAUAAACGGUUAAAAUAUUUCUGUCGGCAUGAAUCUUGGAGAUGGUCUGCUGUUUGAACUUGAAAAUGGAAAACCCAAGUUGAUUUUACUUCGUCAUGGCGCUGAGAAAAAUCCAGCAAAGCAGCUGUCAUUCAGGUCCAGAGCGGCUAACGUCCUGAGCUCCAGGCAGCCAUCCUGUGUGGAGGAGGCGCAGGGAGACGAGCGUCCCGCCAGGCAGCAGGCGGGGAGGCACAGAGAAACCAAAAGCAAGGCAGGAGGAGCAGCAGCCUCCUUCACCUCCAAAACCACCACCCUCGGGGGGAGGAGCACCACUCUCGCAUCAUCCAAGACGCACGAGCGUCACAAAGGGGGCAGUGAAAAAGUUGCGGCCAAGGUGAAGUCAGACAGACACAAACACAGCACCACUGUCGGCUCCCUGAGAGCCAAUAGUAAAACAGCACAGCCUCAGAACGGCGGGACACGGGCCGGUGGACCGGUGGGACUUAAAGACUCGCAGGCCGGUGCUGACGCAGGACUGAAGGGCAGCGUCGUGUGUCUGACCAACGAGCAGCUACAGCAGAUCCUCCACAGAGUCCAGACCUCGAACAAUGGCCAACACCCAGCAGAGGAUCCCAGGACCCAGGGUAGUGCUAGUGAUGGAAGUCUUAAAGGGACAGUUCACCCCAAAAUCAAAAGAAGUCAAACAGACUCAAAAUCUGUCUCCUUAGUGAAAGGAGGAGGAGGAGGAGGAGGAGGAGACAUGAAGGAGGAAGAUAGAGGAGGAGGAGCAGGAGCUGGAAGCUCACAGGAUAAAGACAACAGGUUGUCUGGAUGUCCGUUCAGCUGGCUGGAGGAGCGACAGUCACUCAGCAGAGCGGCCAUCGACGCCAAGAAGGCUCAGUGGAGGAGAGAACUAGAUGAGCAAGUGGCACUGAAGCAGCAGCAGAGUUCGGCUCCUGGCAGGCUCCAGGCAGAGGAGGACACAGAAAGUGUGUAUUCACUUCAGAGCUCCGUCAGCCACAGAGAUCAGCCUGCAGCCGUCAGGUCCAGCCUCAGACUCGGGGAGUUCACCCCGAUGGAGGAGGUGCCGAGUGUCCAGAGGAGAGAGGAGCAGAGGAGACGCUGGCUGGAGGAGCUCGACCGACAGAGAGAGGAGGCGAGCGAACGCAGGAGGCGAGAGAAGGUGCUGCAGAGCCAGACGGAGGACCACGAGCUCUGGGCCACACACUUUGACUCUCUGCACAGGCGGCCUCCCGUCCAGCCUGCAGCUCCCUCAGCUCCACCUCCGGCCCCGUCCAGUGUCUCUGAGCGGGGGGAGUGGGAGCCCUCGUCCAGCCUGUCUCUGGUCUGGGACGCCACGAGCAGCUGUGGAGCAGAGAGCGUGUUGGGAGCCAGCAUAGAUACAACCAGCGGAUACCCGACCAGAGCCAGCCAUCUGAGGACCAUGACCGCCCUGCUGGACCCCGCCCAGAUAGAAGAGAGAGAGAGGAGGAGGCUCAAACAGCUGGAGCAGCAGCGAGCGAUCGAGGCCCAGGUGGAGGAGCGUCGUCGGCAGAAGGAGCGAGAGCAGGCGAGGAGGAGGGAGGAGGAGGAGGAGGAAGAGAGGAGGGUGGCGCAGGAGAGGGAGAUGCUGGACAGACAGUACGAGCUGGACACACUGAGGGAGAAGCAGAAGGCAAAGAAAGGCGACGACGACAGGAGAAAGCAGGAGAUGCAGGAAGCCAGCGUUACCGGGCAGAGCGAGUGUUUGGAUGAGAAGCUCCGCAGUUUGGCCUCCCCAUGCAAAGACACUGCUGUACAGACAGAAGCAGCUCCAUCUCUCAGAGUUCAGACUCCUGACGUCGCUGCACAGUACCAGCCGCCUCCUCUGGCUGCUGCUCCUCCGAACACCAAGAACAGAGCGAUGAGAACCGGCAAGGAGAACAUCUGUCUGCCAGGAGGAGGAGGAGGAGGAGGAGGAGGAGGAGGAGGAGGAGGAGGAGGAGGAGGAGGAGGAGACGGAGACCUGUAUGAGGCGUUUGCCAGGACAGACCGGAGCAGGACAGACAAGAGGAGGCCGGAGUGGAACACACAGAGGCCCAGCCGUCAAUUCGUUCCGGCCUCGGAGCGUUACCCAGCCGCUCUGCAGAGGAACAGGCAGGAGAGUCGACAGAGGAGGCAGGUCGAGCUCCUCGCGCUGCAGGAGAGGACCUGUCUGUCCAGGACCGACCCUCCUCUUCCUCCUCAGCACCCGGAGCCUCGUCUCUGCUCCACACAGACCAGAACCAGUCCCAGCAGGAAGGUGGAGAGUGUUUCCAGAGGAAACGGCCUCUCUGCAGCCGUCGGCACUGAAAGGGGGCGCUCUCCUCCCGUCCCUGCUGUCAGACCCAGAGUCCAGAGUCAGCAGGCACCACCUUCCUCCACCACCAUCUCUCCUCCUCCUCCUCCUCCUCCCGCUCUGGAGUUCAUCCCUUACGUCCGGACUGAUGAAGUCUUCAACCUGGAUCCACUGGAGCCUGCUGACACCCCCCCCACCUCACACACACACAGCAGCUCCUCAGAGCUCAGCGUCUCCUCCUGCUCCAUCACAUCGACUGCUCCACCCUGAACUGCUGCGUAACACACACACACACCGACAGCAGGAGAUCCUCAGAGGCCUGGCCCAGCUACGGCAGGGUUUAUUGCAGAAGCAGAGGGAGUUGGAGACGGAUCUGAAUCCUCUCCUGAAGCGCCAUGACCACGAGCCGCCCUCGUCGACGCACCGCAUGUGACCUCUGACCUCCGGCUCCGUGUGGUUUGAACCCGCAUGGAGCAGCAGCGCGUCCAACACUCGGAGUUUUCAAAGUUAAGCUGAUGAAGACGACUCUCCUCCAAUGAAAGAAGCAGCACGAGCUCCAGAAGCUGCUAAAUCCAGCGAGAAAUUCGAGCAGUUGCCUCCAGACCUCCGUCCAAAGCCGCUCCCCCGUUAUGAAUGUAAACAACAAGCUGCUGUCAGUAUCACAGCUGUCACGGGAGCAGCUUGUGGACGACUCCGGUGAUGCGCAGGCAGGCAGGCCUGGUUUUCCUAAAAACACACGUCCCACCGGAGCUUUAGGAGCAGGUGGGAAAAAGGUUUUGCGAGGAUAAUCUUCCUAAAGGACUGCGAGUGCAUCUUCAGACUGAAGUGUCCCUUCGACACAGACCUUGGCUGUAGAAGAGUCGGGACAGCGUUGAGUCCACAGUUGGUUUGAAUCCGCUGCCAUGCGAGCCGGUGUGUGUGAACACUGCACAGUACGACUACAGCCUUCAGAUGCACACACACAGUGAAGACAUUAAAGUAGCGUUUGCUUGUUCAGUCUGAACACACCUGAUGUCUGAUGUUGUGAGUUUCAGGUUCAACACUAAGUUCAGUGUUUUCUUCAGUUCUACCUCAAGACAAACAUGUUCAUACGUUUCUGCACCAGGAGACCCAAAAAGUCAAACAUGUUUUCUCACUCAUGGAAUUUAUUUGGGACUUUAAUGACAUUUUAUGUGAAGAUUGUAUUUUAAUUCAGUUUUUAAUGCACUUUGCAUACGAACAACAAACGUGUCCUGCAGGUCUGUUUCUUCAGCUUCCUGCUGGCCGAGGAGCUUUAUGUUUCUUUAUGCCUCUGUAUCGUGGAAUUAUUGUGUUUCAUAUUUAUUGUAAAUGUAAUAAAGUAAUGUAAAGUGUACCGAGAGCUUUUACAUUUC
Molecule: RNA transcript, 3761 nt
Organism: Cottoperca gobio
Lineage: Eukaryota; Metazoa; Chordata; Actinopteri; Perciformes; Bovichtidae
Gene: ccdc66
Gene name: coiled-coil domain containing 66
Exons: 21
Source: RefSeq, a predicted model, not a curated record